GGUGAUCCUAUCCGGCCGCUGCAUCCAUCUCCCUCUCGAGUCGAUCGAGUCUCCAUCGCGCCAUGACCUCCUGUGCCUCCAAGGGUGAGCUCUGGUUGGGGCCCCAAUGGUUUAACACAGACCUAUUAAUCCCACGAAUUAAAGAAGAACAAGUUGUAUGUGUACCUGAGCAGUGUGCACUUGGUCCCAAAAGGGCAAAAUGUCAACCAGAUCAGAAUUAGGAUGAGUACAAGUGUGGUGGAUACAACUGAUUAACCAAGUGUGGUACUCGUCUUAAUAAUUAAGCAAAAACGAAAAAAAAGCCCCACAAGUCCACAACCAAUAACCUCUGUUUUGUACAAGUAUCCGUCUUGUGUUAAUAAUUUUGUAAAUUUCAGACACUUAUCUCUUUCAAAA
This is a long non-coding RNA of Sorghum bicolor (sorghum), 396 nucleotides long. RefSeq lists it as uncharacterized. The transcript has 2 exons. The record is from RefSeq and is a predicted model, not a curated record. NCBI's taxonomy places the organism in Eukaryota, Viridiplantae, Streptophyta, Magnoliopsida, Poales, Poaceae.